This 200-nucleotide ribosomal RNA is filed under the name uncultured bacterium. RNAcentral's name for it is "partial 16S ribosomal RNA". It matches the Rfam family "Bacterial small subunit ribosomal RNA", at positions 30 to 232 of the family's 1533-position model. The record is from RNAcentral.
AUUGAACGCUGGCGGCAUGCUUUACACACGCAAGUCGAACGGUAACAGGCCGCAAGGUGCUGACGAGUGGCGAACGGGUGAGUAAUGCAUCGGAACGUGCCCAGUCGUGGGGGAUAACGCAGCGAAAGCUGCGCUAAUACCGCAUACGAUCUAUGGAUGAAAGCGGGGGACCGUAAGGCCUCGCGCGAUUGGAGCGGCCG